ACAUUUACUGUGUCAAAUUUGGGAGGGCCGUUUGGCAUCAAGCAAUUCUGUGCCAUCGUUAAUCCUCCUCAAUCUGGCAUUCUUGCAGUUGGCUCUGCUGAGAAGAGGAUUAUUCCUGGUUUUGGUCCUGAUGAAUUUAAAUUCGCUUCCUUCAUGUCAGUAACCCUAAGUUGUGAUCAUCGUGUCAUAGAUGGUGCAGUUGGUGCUGAAUGGCUAAAAGCGUUCAAGGGCUACAUUGAGAAUCCUGAAUCAAUGUUGCUGUAAAUCAAUCGAUGGCUCUUUCUGUCAUUUCUUUGUACACCUUUCUUUGCAGUUGCCAUUAUUAACAUUGAGCUGCAUUUGUUUUUUUUGCAAUCAGUCGUUAGAUAGGAAAAAAUAGCUGGGUAGAAUAAAAGUAUUGGGUUCUUUUGAGGCGUUAAAAAGCAAACUCGCUCAAUUUUGCUUUUGCAGAGUGUAAUAACGCACUUUACCAAGGUGAUACCUUUUGUUGAAUAGAUUUUCUUUUGUUAAAAAAAAAAAUCUAUUCAACAAAA
This 533-nucleotide unclassified non-coding RNA is filed under the name Hevea brasiliensis (rubber tree). The record is from RNAcentral. Lineage: Eukaryota; Viridiplantae; Streptophyta; Magnoliopsida; Malpighiales; Euphorbiaceae.